Small nuclear RNA from Microtus ochrogaster (prairie vole), 111 nucleotides. Lineage: Eukaryota; Metazoa; Chordata; Mammalia; Rodentia; Cricetidae. The record is from Ensembl.
GUGCUCACUUUGGCAGCCCAAAUACAGAAUUUGAAAUGACAUAGAGAAGAUUACCCCGGUCUCUGUGCAAGGAUAACACACACACAAAUAUGUGAAGCUUUCCAUAUUCUU